RNAcentral lists this ribosomal RNA (253 nucleotides) under uncultured bacterium. Its description in RNAcentral is "partial 16S ribosomal RNA". It matches the Rfam family "Bacterial small subunit ribosomal RNA", at positions 524 to 776 of the family's 1533-position model. The record is from RNAcentral.
UACAGAGGAGCCAAGCGUUGUCCGGAUUGACUGGGCGUAAAGCGCACGCAGGCGGAUGCGCGCGUGGGGUGUGAAAUCUGGCCGCUUAACGGCCAGGCGCCAUCCCAUACGGCGCGUCUGGAGCCUUGCAGAGGUCGGUGGAAUUGCCGGUGUAGUGGUGAAAUGCGUAGAGAUUCGUAGGAACACCAAUGGCGAAGGCAGCUUGCUGGGCCUUUUCUGACGCUGAGGAACGAAAGCGUGGGGAGCGAACAGG